GACGAACGCUGGCGGCGUGCUUAACACAUGCAAGUCGAGCGGUAAGGCCCUUUCGGGGGGUACACGAGCGGCGAACGGGUGAGUAACACGUGGGUGACCUGCCCUCAGCUCUGGGAUAAGCCUGGGAAACUGGGUCUAAUACCGGAUAUGACUCCAUGACGCAUGUUGUGGGGUGGAAAGCCUUGUGCGGCUGAGGAUGGGCCCGCGGCCUAUCAGCUUGUUGGUGGGGUGAUGGCCUACCAAGGCGACGAC
This 252-nucleotide ribosomal RNA is filed under the name uncultured bacterium. RNAcentral describes it as "partial 16S ribosomal RNA". It matches the Rfam family "Bacterial small subunit ribosomal RNA", at positions 28 to 280 of the family's 1533-position model. The record is from RNAcentral.